Molecule: long non-coding RNA, 3436 nt
Filed under: Brassica rapa (field mustard)
Lineage: Eukaryota; Viridiplantae; Streptophyta; Magnoliopsida; Brassicales; Brassicaceae
Description: long non-coding RNA (BRAP_LNC006783)
Source: RNAcentral
CCUGUAACAGCCCGAUCCCCCGGCGUCCGACCGGGGUUAUCGAAGGGGCGUUAUGGACACGUGUCUACUCAUUUAGACAACCCUACGUGUCCCGUUACUGGUCCCGAGAGACGAGCGCAUAACCUUCUUUGAAAUACCGUCACACCCACAUCCAUAUACUUCUACUUACAGUCCUGCGCACAGGAAAAAUGGAAAUGGAGGAGUGAGCAACAAGUUACUCAGUGAAGUGGCUCUAGACCAGCCUGCCCGCAUGACACUCUAUACUACUCUAUGCGGGAACUAGGACUGACUAGCCACUACAAUCAGUUAAUGCAUUUUAUCAUUUCUUAUCGUCAUCUGUAAUUUCCACAUUCAAUUCCAUAAAUUUCUAACAACCUAGUGAUCAAUCAAUACAAUGAUCUCACUCAUUGCCACACACGUCAAACCCUAGACUUAACCGACUCAACUUACCAAUCUGACUCGAUCCUAUGACACCUUUAACUCCCCGUUACCCGACCAUGAGCUAAAGACCCUACAAUGCACGUCCUUAUCAUCAAUAUGUCAUUAUCAUCAGUGGGUAGCCCCAACUAGGCUUCUUCCCCAUAUUCUUGUGGAUUGGCCACAUCUCCUAUGGGUGAUUCCAUAUUCUUGUGGAUUGGCCACAUCUCCUAUGGAUACCUAGCGUGAACUACUGCCACACAUACUUUCCUUAGACUUUAUAUGCUUUCCCACCCAUGCUUAACCUUAACAUUAUCCUUGUAUACUUUCACUUAUCCUUUCACAUCCUUAUCACUUUCACUUAUCCCUUCUCAUUUUCAUUUACUUUCUCUUUUUAUUUAGACUUGUACUUGGACUCAUUCACUAGACGCCACCCGUUAUCGGUGUCACACACAAUACACAUCGCACUCAAGUUCUUCUUACAAUAACAUUAACAAUCAAUUCUCAUCUAUAUAACUUAGCAUUCAUUUCUCUCUAGCACCCUAGCUUUAAACACAACAACACAUGGGACUACACGUCCAAACAUACAAGCAUCAUUCACCAAUCAUUCAUCACUACCACAACUCAAUUCAGUUCAUCAAGUCCCAUUUAUCAGAAUGAGGGUUCUUAUGCAUCAUGAUCCAUUCAUCUACCAUCCUAGCAAUUAUCAUGUUCUAUCAACCUAACUCUCAAACAGGAUCUAAACAACCUAACUCCAACAUAAAGGAGUAUACAGAAUCAUGAGAGAAAGUUGGGUUCGAGAUUCCACCUUAGUCUAGAUCUGGAUCUGGAUCUGGAUCUGGAAACAAGGAUUUGAGAAGGUUGAGAUCUGGUCACCACCACCACACGGCGCCGGCGAGAGUGAGAGAGAGAGAGAGCGUGCGACGUCGAGGAGAGAGAGAGGAUGACGGCGAGGGGAGAGAGAGAAGAGAGAGAAGAGAGAGAGAGGCGGCGCAAGAGAGAAGGGCAGAGAGCUCGACGGCUAGGGUUUCUGGUCUCCGGGAAUUCUCUGCAGAGCUUCGCUUCAGUUUCUCAGUGAGGCAAAAAGGGAGGCUGCAUCUCCUUUUUAUAGGAAAGAGGAAGGGAAAACCCUAGGUCUUUGCCAAAUGGGCCAUAGAGAAGCUCAUAUUCCUAAAGAAAUUUAUGGGCCAGGAACCGGGCCGUUACAAUCCUCCCCCGUUAAUCGGAAUUCGUCCCCGAAUUCCAAAGCCCACAUCUUUCAGAUUAAUCGUUCGUUACCGAAAUGGAUUCACACAUUCACACAACAAUCAAGGGAGGCAUACAAGGCAUGAUGACUCUACUGGAAUCUUUAAAACCAACGAAGGAAUGUCAUAGAUAAAUAAAAGGAGUAGGACUACAAUAGUUUGUAAAAGAAACUCAGCGCAUCUGCACAAACACAGAAUGCCGUAAAUAAUGGAAAGAACACCAACUCCAAUAACCAAUAAAUGAAAUAAAACCAAUAGCGAAACACGUGUCCUACUCCUACGAAUCGUCCCUAGGAUUUCGUCUAGCCACAUUGACAUGGCGAGGGACAGCGGGUCUCGGAUCCAAUGUCUUCAUCGCCCUCUACGACGCGAUCAUACUCGGCCUCCGCCUCGCCUUCCGCCAACCACUCCUCCGCGUGCAGCGCUUGGUUGGCCAUUCUUCUCACCAGUGCAAAUUCCAGAGGCUCCAGAACUCCCACGAGCUCUUCACGAAUAUCUCCACGUAGCCCAGCCCUAAACAGAUGACACCACUCUUCGGCUGGCUUCGGUUGGCACCUCUUGGCCGUAUCCAAGAACUCCUCCAGGUAAUCUCUCACCUUGCGUGGCUUCUGAACCAUCUAGACCAGUACGUCACAAUCACAUGUCACUGUACGAGGUUUUCGCGGACGUCCCCGUUUUCCCUUAGCGAGUUCCCCGACCGGCACCUCAUGGCCUUCGACGUCCCUACCCGGGUUUCCUCCUUCCAUGCUCGAGAGAGCGGCCACAUUGGCGAAACCUGCCAUCCGCCUCACUAGCGCAAACUCCAGAGGCUCCAAAACACCCCUCAAUUGCGCCUGGAUUUCCUUGCGAAGCCUGUUCUUAUACCAUACGCACCACGUCUCGGCAUUCUUUGGCUUGCACAGCUUAGCUUGGUUGAUGAAGUCCUUGGUGUAUCUCGCGACUGAUCGGUCCUCUUGAGCAUUCUUGAUCAGCACUCCACACUGGCACUUCCCGGUGAACACCCUUGGGGGUCCCCCCGCUGCACUUGGCGGCUUGCAUGGGCGGCCACGCUUCCUCGGGGGCCCCUCUUCGGUUGCAAGCUGGAACCUCGCAUUGCCCUGCAGUAGGCGUUCCUCCAUAGCCAUCCUCUGGAAAUGUGGCAUCAACACUUUACGCCUCACAGUCUGCUCGUGCGGGUACCUGAAUGGAAACUCCCUGUACUGCUCUUCAGGAUCCGGAAACAUGGGUAGUACCAAAUUACCCUCCACGUCACGGUGACGCCUUUGGGCAUACUCCCUGGUGUUCCUCCGUCCGUAGUGCAUACGCGGCAUCCUCCACUCAUAAUGGUCAAGCGAAAACAUCCUGCAAUAAAAUUUCAAUCAGAACCAUAAUAGAAGUAUGGAUAUAGUGGGGUUUUCAAAUAAUCUUUUCACAAUCCAAAAAUACUUAGUAAUAAUCAAAACCAAAUUUUUUUUUUUUUUUUUUUUGAAAACAUCAUAAAUGCUGAUCCCUUAGGACAGAACUAAGGGAUCUUAACCCGCUCUGAUACCAAUUGUAACAGCCCGAUCCCCCGGCGUCCGACCGGGGUUAUCGAAGGGGCGUUAUGGACACGUGUCUACUCAUUUAGACAACCCUACGUGUCCCGUUACUGGUCCCGAGAGACGAGCGCAUAACCUUCUUUGAAAUACCGUCACACCCACAUCCAUAUACUUCUACUUACAGUCCUGCGCACAGGAAAAAUGGAAAUGGAGGAGUGAGCAACAAGUUACUCAGUGAAGUGGCUCUAGACCAGCCUG